CACGUAGUUAGCCGGGGCUUCUUAAUCAGGUACCGUCUGGCGACCAAAGGUCGCUAUUUCUUCCCUGCUGAUAGAGCUUUACAUACCGAAAUACUUCUUCACUCACGCGGCGUCGCUGCAUCAGGGUUUCCCCAUUGUGCAAUAUUCCCACUGCUGCCUCCCGUAGGAGUUUGGGCCGUGUCUCAGUCCCAAUGUGGCCGUUCACCCUCUCAGGCCGGCUACUGAUCGUCGCCUUGGUGAGCCAUUACCCGACCAACAAGCUAAUCAGACGCGGAACCAUCGUAUACCACCAGAGUUUUCACACCACUUCAUGCGAAGCUGUGCGCUUAUGCGGUAUUAGCACCCUAUUUCUAAGUGUUACUCCCCAGUAUACGGCAGGUUUUCCACGCGUUACUCACCGUCCGCCACUACUCAUAAUCACUAGGUUUCAAUAUGAGCCCGUUCGACUUGCAUGUGUUAAGCACGCCGCCAGCGUACAUCUCGAGCCAGGA
RNAcentral lists this ribosomal RNA (491 nucleotides) under uncultured Lachnospiraceae bacterium. RNAcentral's name for it is "partial 16S ribosomal RNA". Lineage: Bacteria; Bacillati; Bacillota; Clostridia; Lachnospirales; Lachnospiraceae. The record is from RNAcentral.